Molecule: long non-coding RNA, 699 nt
Organism: Salvelinus fontinalis (brook trout)
Lineage: Eukaryota; Metazoa; Chordata; Actinopteri; Salmoniformes; Salmonidae
Exons: 3
Source: RefSeq, a predicted model, not a curated record
CAGACACCCUCUCUGUAACUGGAACAAGUAACUGGAACGGAAAACAUUAUCUGAAAGCAAAACAGCAAAAAAAGAAAGAUCACAGUAAGGGGGAUUGUUAAGAGACUGCAGCUCCAUCUGCUGGCAAUCCAAGGGUCAGCAAAGAGGGGAAGGAAGAGAGAGAGAGAGUCAAACAGAGAGAGAGGAAAAGAGAGUGCAGCGAGAGGUGCUUCUGGGAAAACCCCUGAUGCCUCAGGACGACCUGGCAUGAUGACUUCUUGCUGUCCCAGUCCACCUGGCCGUGCUGCUGCUCCAGUUUCAACUGUUCUGCCUGCGGCUAUGGAACCCUGACCUGUUCACCGGACGUGCUACCUGUCCCAGACCUGCUGUUUUCAACUCUCUAGAGACCGCAGGAGCGGUAGAGAUACUCUUAAUGAUCGGCUAUGAAAAGCCAACUGACAUUUACUCCUAAGGUGCUGACUUGCUGCACCCUCGACAACUACUGUGAUCAUUAUUAUUUGACCAUGCUGGUCAUUUAUGAACAUUUGAACAUCUUGGCCAUGUUCUGUUAUAAUCUCUACCUGGCACAGCCAGAAGAGGACUGGCCACCCCUCAUAGCCUGGUUCUUCUCUAGGUUUCUUCCUAGGUUUUGGCCUUUCUAGGGAGUUUUUCCUAGCCACCGUGCUUCUACACCUGCAUUGCUUGCUGUUUGGGGUUUUA